UACGGGGGGAGCAAGCGUUGUUCGGAUUUACUGGGCGUAAAGGGCGCGUAGGCGGUCGUGACAAGUCACUUGUGAAAUCUCCGGGCUUAACUCGGAAAGGUCAACUGAUACUGCAGGGCUAGAGUGCAGAAGGGGCAACUGGAAUUCUCGGUGUAGCGGUGAAAUGCGUAGAUAUCGAGAGGAACACCUGCGGCGAAGGCGGGUUGCUGGGCUGACACGUGACGCUGAGGCGCGAAAGCCAGGGGAGCGAACGGG
This 255-nucleotide ribosomal RNA is filed under the name uncultured bacterium. RNAcentral's name for it is "partial 16S ribosomal RNA". It matches the Rfam family "Bacterial small subunit ribosomal RNA", at positions 524 to 776 of the family's 1533-position model. The record is from RNAcentral.